UUAAUUUGACUCAACACGGGAAAACUUACCAGGUCCAGACAAGAUUAGGAUUUACAGAUUGAUAGCUCUUUAAAGAUUUUUGGGAUGGUGGUGCAUGGCCGUUCUUAGUUCGUGGAUUGAUUUGUCAGGUUGAUUCCGGUAACGGACGAGACCCCAACCUACUAACUAGCCCUGGUUGCUUUCGCAGCCAGCAGUGCUUCUUAGAGGGACUCUCGGAAUGAAACCGAAGGAGGUGGGGCAAUAACAGGUCUGUGAUGCCCUUAGAUGUCCUGGGCCGCACGCGCGCUACACUGAUGCAUUCAACGAGCCUACCCUGUGCCGAGAGGUAUGGGUAAUCUGAGAAACUGCAUUGUGAUGGGGCUAGAUUAUUGCAAUUAUUGAUCUUCAACGAGGAAUGCCUAGUAAGCGCGAGUCAUCAACUCGCGUUGAUUACGUCCCUGCCGUUUGUACACACCGCCC
Molecule: ribosomal RNA, 459 nt
Filed under: Cladophora sp. JIAC-WT-filamentous 2
Lineage: Eukaryota; Viridiplantae; Chlorophyta; Ulvophyceae; Cladophorales; Cladophoraceae
Description: SSU rRNA
Rfam family: Eukaryotic small subunit ribosomal RNA
Source: RNAcentral